Molecule: transfer RNA, 70 nt
Filed under: Psilopogon virens (great barbet)
Lineage: Eukaryota; Metazoa; Chordata; Aves; Piciformes; Megalaimidae
Description: tRNA-Arg
Source: RNAcentral
AGAGAGUUAGUCUAAAAAAGACAGUUGAUUUCGACUCAACAAAUCAUAGCCCCAACUCUAUGACCCUCUU